Molecule: transfer RNA, 69 nt
Filed under: Hydrosaurus amboinensis (sailfin lizard)
Lineage: Eukaryota; Metazoa; Chordata; Lepidosauria; Squamata; Agamidae
Description: tRNA-His
Source: RNAcentral
ACCAGGGUAGUUGAGCACCAACAUCAGGCCGUGACCCUGAAAACAGAACCUACCUACUUCUCCUUGGUC